GACGAACCGAGCGAACGUUGUUCGGAAUCACUGGGCUUAAAGGGCGCGUAGGCGGGCUGCCGCGUCCGGGGUGAAAUCCUCCGGCUCGACCGGGGAACGGCCUCGGGUACGGGCGGCCUCGAGGGGGGUAGGGGCGUGCGGAACUGUGGGUGGAGCGGUGAAAUGCGCAGAUAUCAGGAGGAACACCGAUGGCGAAGGCAGGUCUCUGGGCUGUAACUGACGCUGAGGAGCGAAAGCAUGGGGAGCGAACAGG
Molecule: ribosomal RNA, 253 nt
Filed under: uncultured bacterium
Lineage: Bacteria
Description: partial 16S ribosomal RNA
Rfam family: Bacterial small subunit ribosomal RNA
Source: RNAcentral